RNAcentral lists this ribosomal RNA (330 nucleotides) under uncultured bacterium. RNAcentral describes it as "bacterial SSU rRNA". It matches the Rfam family "Bacterial small subunit ribosomal RNA", at positions 570 to 898 of the family's 1533-position model. The record is from RNAcentral.
CGUAGGCGGGAUGGCAAGUCGGUCGUGAAAUCCUUCGGCUCAACCGAAGAACGUCGAUCGAUACUGCUGUUCUUGAGGGUUGCAGAGGAGACUGGAAUUCCCGGUGUAGCGGUGAAAUGUGUAGAGAUCGGGAGGAACACCGGUGGCGAAGGCGGGUCUCUGGGCAAUUCCUGACGCUGAGGCGCGAAAGCGUGGGGAGCAAACGGGAUUAGAUACCCCGGUAGUCCACGCUGUAAACGAUGACGACUAGGUGUGGGGGGGUUCAGUCCCUUCCGUGCCGCAGCUAACGCAUUAAGUCGUCCGCCUGGGGAGUACGGCCGCAAGGUUGAA